AAAAAGCUGUAAUUUCAGCUUACCUUGUUUCAAAGUUUUUUUUUUUUUUUAAUCUUAAAAGAUGAAAAAUAAUAAACAUCGCCGGCCAGUUAAUCUCUCUGGUUACUGUUUAACUGCUGUGCAGCUGCUCUGUAAGUGAGUGGGUGGGACCACCCUGUGGUCUGUUACAUUGACACCUCUCUCUCUGUCUCUCCAGUCUUCCCCUUUUCACCUUACGCCCGCAUUCAUUCACUCUGCAGCUGCAUCACCCGACCACUUUCUCUCAGCCGAGCUCUCACUCUUUCUGUCUGUAUUUGUCUCAUCCAGUCCAGAAGAUGGAUGGAAGAGGCUCUAAAACAGGACAACAAUAGUCGCUAGCGCAAGGAUGGCGCAUUCUUUUUUCUCCCUGGCUGGUACAAAUUGGUCAACUGUGGACCUUUUCUUUUCAGAGCGAGGUGUAGGAUGUGGCGAGGCCGGGAUCUCAAUCGGGCGUUGAUGUGAACAAAGUUAAUCCCUCAUUGGUGCCGAUGUGACCCGAAAAAAAUCGGCUUAAAGUGGCUCCAUUAAACUGGACACAGUUUUGCCAUUCAAAGGCUGCACCAUUCCCCUUCUCUUUCCUUUAGUCUGCCCUCUCCCUCCUCUCUGCCACCCACACACACCAGCAGUAGUGCAGCAUUAAGACAAAUACAUUCAUAACCCUGUUUUAUUAAAGACUUGGGGCCCCUGGGUGUUGUGUAGGACCCUGGGGGGCUGGUGCAACAGCGGGGCGAUUAGGAUAAGACUUCCCAUGAGGAACACGAACACAGCACAGCAGCCAGUGGGCCCUAAGAUGUCCGUUCCCCUCCCACCUCGAAACCUGAUCCUCUAUUUCAUGCACAUUAGUGCUGUGUAAACGCUCCCCCAGGCUGCCUUUACAGUGAGCUUCGCUUUAGAAGAGCGAUGUGCUACUAAAGAUGCUGAGAAGCAGUAAUUUCUAUCUUGUUACACUUAAAAGGUGGUGUCAAAUUAGGCAUUGCAAAAUUAUAAUGUAGAGUAUGAAGAAUGGAUAUUAAUUUUGAUAUUUGGUAAUUCUUAGUGUUUUUAAAGAUUAACUUUCAGUGAGUGUUAGAUUACAGCAAAUAUAAUCAACCUGUAAAAAUAGCUGUGUGUAAUUAAAUAUCAGGUAAUAACCAUAUUUGCAUCCCUAGUGUGCAUUCAUGUAAUAAUGUUUUUUAAAGAUUAACUUGUGUACUUUACUCUAAUGUAAAUGUAAAAACAGGGGAAAUGGCAAUGCAAAAUUAAAUAAUCAACAUUGACUGAAAUGGUACAGAUAUAUUGAGUAUCUCUAAAAAUUGCUCAAAAAGUACAUAAAAAUGAAAUAAAAUCAUACUUUGUCAAAUUUUUGAAUCAGAAAUCUUAGGGGAAAAGUAAAAAAAAGAAAAGAAAAAAGUUCAUAAUACUUUCAUGAUUCAUCCAUGUGUACAUGAUUAAUAUUUCUGAUAUAUGUUCUCACAUUUUACUUUAACUGUCUUGUGGUUAAAUUCUUCAAUGCUGAUUCACAUUAAAGGUAUGCAGAAGGAGGCCUGAUCUCUGUUUUAUUUGUAUUCAUGCCUCUAUAUGUCUGUGUAAGAAAGGCCUGUUUCUGAUCAGUGUGCUUGAAAGUAAUGUGUGGGCUUGUGUGAUGUGUCCCAAAUCAUUAACAGUUCUGGCACAUGUGCGUUAGGAGUCUG
Cyprinus carpio carpio is the source of this 1688-nucleotide long non-coding RNA. Lineage: Eukaryota; Metazoa; Chordata; Actinopteri; Cypriniformes; Cyprinidae. The record is from Ensembl.